GCAUGGAGAGUUCAUUAAAGAGAGCAAUUUUGGUUACAGACGAGCAUGCGCUCCAUUAGCCAGUUGGCGGGGUAACGGCCCACCAAAGCGACGAUGGAUAGGGGUUCUGAGAGGAAGGUCCCCCACAUUGGAACUGAGACACGGUCCAAACUCCUACGGGAGGCAGCAGUGAGGAAUAUUGGUCAAUGGUCGGCAGACUGAACCAGCCAAGUCGCGUGAGGGAAGACGGCCCUACGGGUUGUAAACCUCUUUUGUCGGAGAGUAAAGUACGCUACGCGUAGCGUAUUGCAAGUAUCCGAAGAAAAAGCAUCGGCUAACUCCGUGCCAGCAGCCGCGGUAAUACGGAGGAUGCGAGCGUUAUCCGGAUUUAUUGGGUUUAAAGGGUGCGUAGGCGGCACGCCAAGUCAGCGGUGAAAUUUCCGGGCUCAACCCGGAGUGUGCCGUUGAAACUGGCGAGCUAGAGUGCACAAGAGGCAGGCGGAAUGCGUGGUGUAGCGGUGAAAUGCAUAGAUAUCACGCAGAACCCCGAUUGCGAAGGCAGCCUGCUAGGGUGCGACAGACGCUGAGGCACGAAAGCGUGGGUAUCGAACAGGAUUAGAUACCCUGGUAGUCCACGCAGUAAACGAUGAAUACUAACUGUUUGCGAUACAAUGUAAGCGGUA
Molecule: ribosomal RNA, 662 nt
Filed under: uncultured bacterium
Lineage: Bacteria
Description: bacterial SSU rRNA
Rfam family: Bacterial small subunit ribosomal RNA
Source: RNAcentral